CAGUAGCCGCGGGAAUACGGAGGGAGCUAGCGUUGUUCGGAAUUACUGGGCGUAAAGCGCGCGUAGGCGGUUACUCAAGUCAGAGGUGAAAGCCCGGGGCUCAACCCCGGAACUGCCUUUGAAACUAGAUAGCUAGAAUCUUGGAGAGGUCAGUGGAACUCCGAGUGUAGAGGUGAAAUUCGUAGAUAUUCGGAAGAACACCAGUGGCGAAGGCGACUGACUGGACAAGUAUUGACGCUGAGGUGCGAAAGCGUGGGGAGCAAACAGGAUUAGAUACCCCCGUAGUCCCUGUCUCUUAUAC
Molecule: ribosomal RNA, 301 nt
Filed under: uncultured bacterium
Lineage: Bacteria
Description: partial 16S ribosomal RNA
Rfam family: Bacterial small subunit ribosomal RNA
Source: RNAcentral